UGGGGAAUUUUGCACAAUGGGCGAAAGCCUGAUGCAGCGACGCCGCGUGUGCGAUGAAGGCCUUUGGGUCGUAAAGCACUGUCGAUCGGGACGAAAACUCCGGUACUAAUACUAUCGGAGUCUGACGGUACUGAUAAAGGAAGCACCGGCUAACUCUGUGCCAGCAGCCGCGGUAAUACAGAGGGUGCAAACGUUGCUCGGAAUUAUUGGGCGUAAAGCGCGUGUAGGCGGCUUGUUAAGUUGGUCGUGAAAGCCCACAGCUCAACUGUGGAAGUGCAACCAAAACUGGCAAGCUUGGGUUCUGAAGAGGAUGGCGGAAUUCCCAGUGUAGAGGUGAAAUUCGUAGAUAUUGGGAGGAACAUCGGUGGCGAAGGCGGCCAUCUGGGAAGCGACUGACGCUGAGACGCGAAAGCGUGGGUAGCAAACAG
This 428-nucleotide ribosomal RNA is filed under the name uncultured bacterium. RNAcentral's name for it is "bacterial SSU rRNA". It matches the Rfam family "Bacterial small subunit ribosomal RNA", at positions 355 to 775 of the family's 1533-position model. The record is from RNAcentral.